RNAcentral lists this transfer RNA (85 nucleotides) under Candidatus Heimdallarchaeota archaeon LC_2. RNAcentral's name for it is "tRNA-Leu". It matches the Rfam family "tRNA". Rfam says of the family: Transfer RNA (tRNA) molecules are approximately 80 nucleotides in length. Their secondary structure includes four short double-helical elements and three loops (D, anti-codon, and T loops). Further hydrogen bonds mediate the characteristic L-shaped molecular structure. tRNAs have two regions of fundamental functional importance: the anti-codon, which is responsible for specific mRNA codon recognition, and the 3' end, to which the tRNAs corresponding amino acid is attached (by aminoacyl-tRNA synthetases). tRNAs cope with the degeneracy of the genetic code in two manners: having more than one tRNA (with a specific anti-codon) for a particular amino acid; and 'wobble' base-pairing, i.e. permitting non-standard base-pairing at the 3rd anti-codon position. The record is from RNAcentral. Lineage: Archaea; Promethearchaeati; Candidatus Heimdallarchaeota.
GCGGGGGUCGCCCAGUCUGGCCAACGGCGCUAGGUUGAGGGCCUAGUCUCUUAGGAGUUCGUGAGUUCAAAUCUCACCCUCCGCA